AAUGAAUGUAUUGUUUUUUGCUAAAGAUUUCUUAUAUUUUUUAAGCUUGAAUGGAACCAAAAUAAAUGUUCCAAUACAACAAAUUAGUUUUUCAAUGAAUUGACUCUGACGGAGGACAUUUGACCAAUAAUAUGGCCUAAUCACAAAUUUAAAGUACAGGAGAUGCUAAAUAAAUACGAAGGCUACUGGGGCCCGCUAAUGGAACGUAAUACGAUAGCUUUUGUUGGAACACAUUAUUCAAAUUUUAAAGUUGAACAUAAAAUGCGACUCAUCACUACAAACCCCCGCUGAUCAUCAAUGGAGUUUCAAUGUGAACAUUUAACACUCGCUCGUGACAGUCAGGAAAACUGUUAUGUAAGGAAACCGGUAUGACAUAAACUAAAAACAAGUCGAAGGCGAAAUCCAACAGCUUGUACCACAACUAGUUCUACUUAUAAAAUACUUAAGGAAUUAAAAAAAUGACAAAUUCAGAACAGCUAAUUAGUAUUAGGGUAAAGUAGCUUAAAAUGUAAUGUACACGUUGCUUGCGCUUA
Pieris brassicae (large cabbage white) is the source of this 533-nucleotide long non-coding RNA. RefSeq lists it as uncharacterized. Lineage: Eukaryota; Metazoa; Arthropoda; Insecta; Lepidoptera; Pieridae. The record is from RefSeq and is a predicted model, not a curated record. The transcript is spliced from 3 exons.